UAGACUGGGUGAGGAAGAGGAGAUGAGACCAGACCAGACCAGAGGAGGAAGAGGAGACCAGAUAGGACAAGGAAGAGAGUGCUAAAUAUUUAAUACGCAAUACCUCAUUCAGACCUCAUGAACCAUCCUAUAAGCACAAAUUCAAGAGAAUGAUGCCUAACGACAUCACGUUUUUAUGAGACCUAGAAGGGGAGAGCUUGUUCUCCUAAGUGAAUCUUCUGGGAGGCCAUCUAAACAAAUUUGAAACAAAUAUCAAGUCCUCAGGAAGACCAGGUCACCGUCAUGCUCAGGCAUCAGCUAAAUGCAGAGACUGACGCCAAUCCCAGGAACAUCAUCUUCUGCAGACCACAACAGGUUGAGGAGAUCAUGGCAGGUGCUGGUGGGGGCAGGAGCAGCAUAGAGGAUGAGCUUUUAUUCCUGGAAUGAGGAGAGUGGCAUAUAAGAUGUCAGAGAGGUCCAAGACGAAAGAAGGACAGGGACAUGCUUGACUUCAGGCAAAUAUAUAAAACACUCGGGUA
This is a long non-coding RNA of Lemur catta (Ring-tailed lemur), 518 nucleotides long. RefSeq lists it as uncharacterized. The record is from RefSeq and is a predicted model, not a curated record. NCBI's taxonomy places the organism in Eukaryota, Metazoa, Chordata, Mammalia, Primates, Lemuridae. The transcript has 3 exons.